RNAcentral lists this ribosomal RNA (443 nucleotides) under uncultured soil bacterium. RNAcentral's name for it is "bacterial SSU rRNA". It matches the Rfam family "Bacterial small subunit ribosomal RNA", at positions 26 to 518 of the family's 1533-position model. The record is from RNAcentral.
AGAACGAACGCUGGCGGCAUGCCUAACACAUGCAAGUCGAACGAGACCUUCGGGUCUAGUGGCGCACGGGUGCGUAACGCGUGGGAAUCUGCCCUUGGGUUCGGAAUAACAGCGAGAAAUUGCUGCUAAUACCGGAUGAUGACGUAAGUCCAAAGAUUUAUCGCCCAAGGAUGAGCCCGCGUAGGAUUAGCUUGUUGGUGAGGUAAGAGCUCACCAAGGCGACGAUCCUUAGCUGGUCUGAGAGGAUGAUCAGCCACACUGGGACUGAGACACGGCCCAGACUCCUACGGGAGGCAGCAGUGGGGAAUAUUGGACAAUGGGCGAAGGCCUGAUCCAGCAAUGCCGCGUGAGUGAUGAAGGCCUUAGGGUUGUAAGGCUCUUUACCCGGAUGAUAAUGACAGUACCGGAGAAUAAGCUCCGGCUAACUCCGUACCAGCAGCCGC